RNAcentral lists this ribosomal RNA (490 nucleotides) under uncultured bacterium. Its description in RNAcentral is "partial 16S ribosomal RNA". It matches the Rfam family "Bacterial small subunit ribosomal RNA", at positions 29 to 505 of the family's 1533-position model. The record is from RNAcentral.
AGUGAACGCUGGCGGUAGGCCUAACACAUGCAAGUCGAACGGCAGCACAGUAAGAGCUUGCUCUUACGGGUGGCGAGUGGCGGACGGGUGAGGAAUACAUCGGAAUCUACUUUUUCGUGGGGGAUAACGUAGGGAAACUUACGCUAAUACCGCAUACGACCUACGGGUGAAAGCAGGGGAUCUUCGGACCUUGCGCGAUUGAAUGAGCCGAUGUCGGAUUAGCUAGUUGGCGGGGUAAAGGCCCACCAAGGCGACGAUCCGUAGCUGGUCUGAGAGGAUGACCAGCCACACUGGAACGGACACGCGGUCCAACCUCCUGGGGGAGGAAGAAGGGGGGAUUUCGGGACAAGGGGGGAAAGCCUGGUCCAGCCAUGCCGGGUGGGUGAAGAAGGCCGUGGGGUUUAAAACCCUUUUUUGGGGAAAAAAAAAGCAGCUGGUAAAUACCCCGCUGUUCAGGGGGUCCCAAAAGAAAAACCCCCGGCAAACUUCG